CUCCUAGGGGAGGAGCAGUGAGGAAUAUUGGUCAAUGGGACGGAAGCUGUAACCAGCCAAGUCGCGUGAGGGAAGACGGCCCUAAGGGUUGUAAACCUCUUUUGCGGGGGAGCAAAAGCGCCGUGCGCGGAUGCUAUGAGAGUACCCGGAGAAAAAGCAUCGGCUAACUCCGUGCCAGCAGCCGCGGUAAUACGGAGGAUGCGAGCGUUAUCCGGAUUUAUUGGGUUUAAAGGGUGCGUAGGCGGACAGUUAAGUCAGCGGUCAAAACGGGCGGCUCAACCGCCUGCCGCCGUUGAAACUGGCAGUCUAGAGUGGGCGAGAAGUACGCGGAAUGCGCGGUGUAGCGGUGAAAUGCAUAGAUAUUGCGCAGAACUCCGAUUGCGAAGGCAGCGUACCGGCGCCCGACUGACGCUGAGGCACGAAAGCGUGGGGAUCGAACAGGAUUAGAUACCCUGGUAGUCCACGCAGUAAACGAUGGACACUAUCUGUUCGGGUCGAGAGAGAUCUGAGUGGCACAGCGAAAGCGUUAAGUGUCCCACCUGGGGAGUACGCCGGCAACGGUGAAACUCAAAGGAAUUGACGGGGGCCCGCACAAGCGGAGGAACAUGUGGUUUAAUUCGAUGAUACGCGAGGAACCUUACCCGGGCUCAAACGCACGACGGCGGCACGUGAAAGCGUGCUUACUACGGGACGUUGUGCGAGGUGCUGCAUGGUUGUCGUCAGCUCGUGCCGUGAGGUGUCGGCUUAAGUGCCAUAACGAGCGCAACCCCCAUCCGCAGUUGCCAGCAGGUCAAGCUGGGGACUCUGCGGAGACUGCCGGCGCAAGCUGAGAGGAAGGCGGGGAUGACGUCAAAUCAGCACGGCCCUUACGUCCGGGGCGACACACGUGUUACAAUGGCAGGGACAGAGGGAAGCCACCGGGCGACCGGGCGCGGACCCCGAAACCCUGUCUCAGUUCGGAUCGGAGUCUGCAACUCGACUCCGUGAAGCUGGAUUCGCUAGUAAUCGCGCAUCAGCCAUGGCGCGGUGAAUACGUUCCCGGGCCUUGUACACACCGC
This 1058-nucleotide ribosomal RNA is filed under the name uncultured bacterium. Its description in RNAcentral is "bacterial SSU rRNA". It matches the Rfam family "Bacterial small subunit ribosomal RNA", at positions 336 to 1393 of the family's 1533-position model. The record is from RNAcentral.